RNAcentral lists this ribosomal RNA (429 nucleotides) under Chloroflexota bacterium. RNAcentral describes it as "Chloroflexi bacterium partial 16S ribosomal RNA". It matches the Rfam family "Bacterial small subunit ribosomal RNA", at positions 355 to 776 of the family's 1533-position model. Lineage: Bacteria; Bacillati; Chloroflexota. The record is from RNAcentral.
UGGGGAAUAUUGCACAAUGGGCGCAAGCCUGAUGCAGCCAUGCCGCGUGUAUGAAGAAGGCCUUCGGGUUGUAAAGUACUUUCAGCGGGGAGGAAGGGAGUAAAGUUAAUACCUUUGCUCAUUGACGUUACCCGCAGAAGAAGCACCGGCUAACUCCGUGCCAGCAGCCGCGGUAAUACGGAGGGUGCAAGCGUUAAUCGGAAUUACUGGGCGUAAAGCGCACGCAGGCGGUUUGUUAAGUCUGAUGUGAAAGCCCCCGGCUCAACCGGGGAGGGUCAUUGGAAACUGGGAGACUUGAGUGCAGAAGAGGAGAGUGGAAUUCCAUGUGUAGCGGUGAAAUGCGUAGAUAUAUGGAGGAACACCAGUGGCGAAGGCGGCUCUCUGGUCUGUAACUGACGCUGAGGCUCGAAAGCGUGGGGAGCAAACAGG